GUUUACGCCAUCUAUAGUUAUAUAAUGGUGACAUCAUAGAACAAAAUAGCUUAAUGACGUCAUCCAUAGUUACUUCACCGGUGACGACACUUCAAUAUCGUUAUGAUAUCAUUGUUAAUUCGAACAUCACUCUUAAGCGGCGGUCGCACCUUGCGAUUUUUAGCCGCGAUCGCGACCGAAACUGGCUCUUCUCUCUAACUCGUAAACCCCCUCCGAACCGGUCGCUGAUGCGACGUCGCUGGUCAACAAAAAGUUUGUUCCUGUGGCGAUGGUUCCACUGCACAUCCAAUGAGAAGCUGU
This 300-nucleotide long non-coding RNA is filed under the name Androctonus crassicauda. Lineage: Eukaryota; Metazoa; Arthropoda; Arachnida; Scorpiones; Buthidae. The record is from RNAcentral.